Nannospalax galili (Upper Galilee mountains blind mole rat) is the source of this 554-nucleotide long non-coding RNA. RefSeq lists it as uncharacterized. The transcript is spliced from 2 exons. NCBI's taxonomy places the organism in Eukaryota, Metazoa, Chordata, Mammalia, Rodentia, Spalacidae. The record is from RefSeq and is a predicted model, not a curated record.
CUGAAGCUGGAGUUACAGGCCAUUGUGAGCUGCCCAACACAGGUGAUGGGAACUGGACUUGGGUCAUCUGCAAGAGCAGCAAGUGCUCCUGACCACUGAAUCAUCUCUCCAGGACCUCUUGAUCCCAUUUUAUAGGUACCCAGUGGAAGCUGUGACCCAGAAAUGUACACUAGGAAGUCAUCACAGGUGGCCAUUUGAAUGCUGGAUUUGUUGUGGUCUCUGAAAAACCAAGAAGAGAAUUUGACUUUGAAACGCCCAUGCCUUAAGUUAUCUGCUUUGCUCUUUUUGUAAAGAUUUGUUUUCUUGCCAAAUGUAACAUUCAGUUACUAAGUGGAAAUGUAAAAGUUUACAAUUUCAUGAAAAUGCCAAAUGGUUUUAACAGGGCUGUUCCUUCCCCCAUUGGCCACCUUCUCAGUUCACCACUAGAGAGCACUGUUGGCAGUGAGAUCAGGACGCAGCAAAGAAGGAACACUGCUAAUUUCUGAAUUGUUUUUUGAGAUCUUUCAGUUUUUUUUUCUUUCAGCCAGUAAAUAAAAACGGAAAUUUAAAAACUA